RNAcentral lists this ribosomal RNA (389 nucleotides) under uncultured bacterium. RNAcentral describes it as "bacterial SSU rRNA". It matches the Rfam family "Bacterial small subunit ribosomal RNA", at positions 29 to 401 of the family's 1533-position model. The record is from RNAcentral.
AACGAACGCUGGCGGCGUGGAUAAGACAUGCAAGUCGAACGGGAACUUCAGCUGUAGCAAUACAGUUGAAGUUUUAGUGGCGAACGGGUGCGUAACACGUGGGCAAUCUGCCGAGAAGUGGGGGAUAGCUCGCCGAAAGGCGAAUUAAUACCGCAUAUGAUCAGCUAAGACAUCUUAGCGACAUCAAAGCCGGGGCAACCUGGCGCUUUUUGAGGAGCCCGCGGCCUAUCAGCUAGUUGGUGAGGUAACGGCUCACCAAGGCUAUGACGGGUAGCUGGUCUGAGAGGACGACCAGUCACACUGGAACUGAGACACGGUCCAGACACCUACGGGUGCAGCAGUCGAGUAAUUUUUCUCAAUGGGCGAAAGCCUGAAGGAGCGACGCCGCG